Molecule: ribosomal RNA, 403 nt
Filed under: bacterium
Lineage: Bacteria
Description: partial 16S ribosomal RNA
Rfam family: Bacterial small subunit ribosomal RNA
Source: RNAcentral
GGGGGAAUAUUGCACAAUGGAGGGAACUCUGAUGCAGCGACGCCGCGUGAACGAAGAAGGCUUUCGAGUCGUAAAGUUCUUUUAUAUGGGAAGAUAAUGACGGUACCAUAAGAAAAAGCCCCGGCUAACUACGUGCCAGCAGCCGCGGUAAUACGUAGGGGGCUAGCGUUGUCCGGAAUCACUGGGCGUAAAGGGUUCGCAGGCGGAAAUGCAAGUCAGGUGUAAAAGGCAGUAGCUUAACUACUGUAAGCAUUUGAAACUGCAUAUCUUGAGAAGAGUAGAGGUAAGUGGAAUUUUUAGUGUAGCGGUGAAAUGCGUAGAUAUUAAAAAGAAUACCGGUGGCGAAGGCGGCUUACUGGGCUCAUUCUGACGCUGAGGAACGAAAGCGUGGGUAGCAAACAGG